Molecule: long non-coding RNA, 519 nt
Organism: Podarcis raffonei (Aeolian wall lizard)
Lineage: Eukaryota; Metazoa; Chordata; Lepidosauria; Squamata; Lacertidae
Exons: 4
Source: RefSeq, a predicted model, not a curated record
GCUGAACUGACUCGGUAGCGAGCGGGAGGCAAACUGAAGCAGCUUCUGCGGACGGAGAUUCGGAAUCUGAGGAGAGAAAAAGGUGGAGGCUGGUGAAAGUUGUUCUGCAAAGUCUCUGGAGCGGGCAGCAAAUUGGCAAAAAGUUUCGUUUUGGUGGACCAGUGCAGUUUGGCGACGAGAACAGAGAAAAUAGAAAGGAGAAGAAGAAAAGAAUCACAAUUAUUAACAUUACCAAAAACAUGAUGAAUGAAAACAGUAAAGAGGAAGGAAAAGCAGAGACUGGCCCACAGCCUUCGGAUGGGGGAGCAGCUGGCACCAGUAUUGACUCUCCUGUUGAGGGGGAAGAAGAAGCCCUGGCAGUGUUUGACGUGCUUGAAGAAAUUGAAGAAUUGUAUGAAGAUGGAGAUGAUCAGUUUGUAGACGUAUCCCUGGCAAGGGAGGAUGAUAUGGAUGCUCUGUUCCCAAUGUUGGCAGCAACUCUAGAAAGCGAUCAGGAGGAUCAGGAGGGGCAAGAGGAUC